GAUGAACGCUGGCGGCGUGCCUAAUACAUGCAAGUCGAGCGAACAUACUAGGAGCUUGCUCCUCUGACGUUAGCGGCGGACGGGUGAGUAACACGUGGAUAACCUACCUAUAAGACUGGGAUAACUUCGGGAAACCGGAGCUAAUACCGGAUAAUAUAUUGAACCGCAUGGUUCAAUAGUGAAAGACGGUUUUGCUGUCACUUAUAGAUGGAUCCGCGCCGCAUUAGCUAGUUGGUAAGGUAACGGCUUACCAAGGCGACGAUGCGUAGCCGACCUGAGAGGGUGAUCGGCCACACUGGAACUGAGACACGGUCCAGACUCCUACGGGAGGCAGCAGUAGGGAAUCUUCCGCAAUGGGCGAAAGCCUGACGGAGCAACGCCGCGUGAGUGAUGAAGGUCUUCGGAUCGUAAAACUCUGUUAUUAGGGAAGAACAAAUGUGUAAGUAACUAUGCACGUCUUGACGGUACCUAAUCAGAAAGCCACGGCUAACUACGUG
Molecule: ribosomal RNA, 497 nt
Filed under: uncultured bacterium
Lineage: Bacteria
Description: partial 16S ribosomal RNA
Rfam family: Bacterial small subunit ribosomal RNA
Source: RNAcentral